CAGGGAGACAACAAAAUGUUUAAUAUUAUUAUUUUGUCACCUUAGGUCGAUCGGUAUCUCACAUUCUUAAUUUAUUAAGAAUUUCAUUUCCUAAGUUUUUCUAGGUCACACCCAUUUUUUUCCUGGUCCAUUAGCUCAGGUGGUUAGAGCGCACCCCUGAUAAGGGUGAGGUCCCUGGUUCAAGUCCAGGAUGGCCCAUAUCUCUAUGUUGGGGGUAUAGCUCAGUUGGUAGAGCGCCUGCUUUGCAAGCAGGAUGUCAGCGGUUCGAGUCCGCUUACCUCCACUGAUUACCACCUCUUCCAUAAUCUGUAGAAAGGAAAUGUUUUGAGUUGUGAUCAAUUCUGAACGAAUCUAGCUUCCUAAUGAAAUCAUUAAGAUGCUGGACUCAUUGAAUUAAUUUCAUUGUUUUCAGAGAACCUUGACAACUGCAUAGAUUAUUUUUAAAGACAAUAAGCAUCUUUUAAUGAUGCAGAUUUAUUAUUGGUGCAAAUGCAUUAAUAACAAUUCUAUUAAGCUGAUGCUUCAAUUAUUGAAGUUAUU
RNAcentral lists this transfer RNA (540 nucleotides) under uncultured Prochlorococcus sp. RNAcentral's name for it is "partial 16S-23S ribosomal RNA intergenic spacer". The stretch from base 211 to 283 matches the Rfam family "tRNA". Lineage: Bacteria; Bacillati; Cyanobacteriota; Cyanophyceae; Synechococcales; Prochlorococcaceae. The record is from RNAcentral.